CUUCUGCUCUGUCCAACUGGCUUCUACCGGUAGGUGACAGGGCAGUGUUCCCAGCAGUGGGACAAGAGGCACUGGCACCAGGCCAUGAGCCAUGCAUUCCUAGCUCUGCAGGGCAUGCAUGCCACGCGGACUGUGACAGUGAGCUCUUCCAGGCCCCCAGUGAGCCUGAGAGGGGGUCUGGGAAGAGUCAAGAGACACCCAGACAGUGCCAUGUGGCAGUGAAGCCUCUGGUCCCAAUCUGCCAGGGUGCAAAGCCCCAGGACUGCUGGUGGGAUGUUGGCACUACCCCGUUUUCCUUUUCCAGCUACAACAGAAUGGCAGAGAGGAAAGGACCCUCCGGGAUCUUCCAGUUCAGCCAGCCCAUUUUACAGAGGUGGAGACUGAGGCCAGAGCCCACCUUGCAGAUGAAGAAAGUGAGGCUCAGAGAACCAGUUUCCCGAGGACACCUGGCCCCACGGCGUGCCUGAAUCCGGGGCACGCGCUUCCUGCUUUGGCACACUACGGCUCCUUUUCAAAACGAUGUUUGUGAAAAUUAGUCUCAGUAAAGACAGCUAAGAAGGAUGGGUUGGGAUGUUUUUAGCUGCCUGUAAGCCAGAUAAAAGGUUCUGUUGUUGCAAAAAUGCUUUUCUUGGGUAUGCUAUAAGCAUCCGUUAAUUUCAGAAAUUAUCCAGCCUCACUAAGUAGAAAUGAUGGGUGGCUUUUCGAAUUCGAGAUGAAGAUGGGUUUUUUUUUAAAUGUUGUUGAUGGUGGUUUAUUUAUGACAGACUCUUUUCAUACCCUGAGUGUAAUAGCUUAAAUUUCAACGAGUCAGGGACCACUUUUAUUUUUUCAUCUAUGCAGCCCUGGCAGAGUAGGUACCUUAUUAGCAUUUACUGAAAAGGAGAUUUUUCUGAAUGGCCACUCAGAAAACUACAAUUGUGCAAUCAUCUGUAUUCACGUGUAAGUGGAUAGGCAGAUAGUAAGUUGAAUUAAUUAAUUAAUUAAUUGGAGCCCAACAAGGCAUGACUUCGAGUUACAAGUAGCCAGGAACCACCAGUUUGAGAUCUCUGAUUAAGGUAAGGUGGAGAAGUAUUUUAAGGGGAAGAUCACAAGCUAAGGAAACAGCUGAAAAUUUGACAAAAGAAAUUCCAAAUUUGGGUUCCUAUACUCUGUGAAUAAUGCCAACAGCCCCCUCCAGACUUAAGCUGCAGGCACAGCAAAGCUAGAGGGGCUCGUACUCGUUUUCACCAGGUUAUGCUGCAUAAGAAACAACCUCAAUCUCAGUUUCUUGCAGCAAUAAAUCUUUAUUUCUUCCUCAGGUUGUGUGCCAGUGGCAGGGGGAACUGCUGCCACAAGCUCUAGUGCGGGCUGUGGCCAGAGUCAGGCCUGGUCCACGUGUCUCUCAUCCCAGGGCCCAGGGCAGGAGUGCAAGGUGGUAGGAGGAACUUGCAACGCCUCUUAAAGCCUCCACUGGAAUCCAUCACGUUGUCACACGGGCCCACAUUUUGGGGGAAAAUAAAGUCACGCAGUCAAGUCAACAUCAACUGACAGAGCUGGUGAUGAAUAGUUGCUAAACAAAGAUGCAAUUUACUACCAGGAUUUAGGGAACUGUGAGUCCAGGGGAGUUCAACCGUUCUCAGAAGGGGCCUUUCCAACCACCUUGGGGCACAGGGGAGGAGGGAAAGAAAGGAGUCCAAAUGGACAGGGUUCUAAGAUUCCUGCCUUCAACACCACCACCUCCGCUUUAUCCAUUGGGUUGCCAUGUGUGUUUUCACCUCAAAGCUGCUUUAAAAAAUGGAAAAAAAAAUGACCUGAUAUUAACACAAUUCUCUCAUAUUACACAGAUGAAGAUCAAGACCUCAAAAGGAGAUAGGCAUGAAUAGGCCUAUGACAGGCCUAU
This 1879-nucleotide long non-coding RNA is filed under the name Homo sapiens (human). Its description in RNAcentral is "HSALNT0277415". The record is from RNAcentral. Lineage: Eukaryota; Metazoa; Chordata; Mammalia; Primates; Hominidae.